UGCAGUCNNNNGUAACAUUUCUAGCUUGCUAGAAGANGACGAGUGGCGGACGGGUGAGCAAUGCUUGGGAACUUGCCUUUGCGAGGGGGAUAACAGUUGGAAACGACUGCUAAUACCGCAUAAUGUCUUUGGACCAAACGGGGCUUCGGCUCCGGCGCAAAGAGAGGCCCAAGUGAGAUUAGCUAGUUGGUAAGGUAACGGCUUACCAAGGCGACGACCUCUAGCUGUUCUGAGAGGAAGAUCAGCCACACUGGGACUGAGACACGGCCCAGACUCCUACGGGAGGCAGCAGUGGGGAAUAUUGCACAAUGGGGGAAACCCUGAUGCAGCCAUGCCGCGUGUGUGAAGAAGGCCUUCGGGUUGUAAAGCACUUUCAGUUGUGAGGAAAAGUUAGUAGUUAAUACCUGCUAGCCGUGACGUUAACAACAGAAGAAGCACCGGCUAACUCCGUGCCAGCAGCCGCGGUAAUACGGAGGGUGCGAGCGUUAAUCGGAAUUACUGGGCGUAAAGCGCACGCAGGCGGUUUGUUAAGCUAGAUGUGAAAGCCCCGGGCUCAACCUGGGAUGGUCAUUUAGAACUGGCAGACUAGAGUCUUGGAGAGGGGAGUGGAAUUCCAGGUGUAGCGGUGAAAUGCGUAGAUAUCUGGAGGAACAUCAGUGGCGAANGCGACUCCCUGGCCAAAGACUGACGCUCAUGUGCGAAAGUGUGGGUAGCGAACAGGAUUAGAUACCCUGGUAGUCCACACCGUAAACGCUGUCUACUAGCUGUGUGUGUCUUUAAGACGUGCGUAGCGAANCUAACGCGCUAAGUAGACCGCCUGGGGNGUACNNCCGCAAGGUU
RNAcentral lists this ribosomal RNA (840 nucleotides) under uncultured bacterium. RNAcentral's name for it is "bacterial SSU rRNA". It matches the Rfam family "Bacterial small subunit ribosomal RNA", at positions 56 to 895 of the family's 1533-position model. The record is from RNAcentral.